AAGCGCGGGCGGCGGCGCGGGCUGUGCGCGCGCGCCAUGAAGGAGACGCGCGGUACUUCCAGGCAGCAGAACCAGCCUCAAGGGCACUAUGGACUUACCUCUCCAAUUAGCUUGGCUCCUCCCAGUGACAAAGACCACAUCCAUACUCAGAAGCUGAUUGAAGCAAUGAAGCCAUUUGGGGUGUUUGAGGAUCAGGAAGAACUCUAUCACAGGACAACUGUUCUUGGAAAACUGAAUAACUUUGUCAGAGAAUGGAUUUCAGAGCUUGCUGAAAGCAAGAACCUUCCCCCUUCAAUAACAGAACAAGUUGGUGGCAAAAUAUUUACGUUUGGCUCCUACAGACUUGGAGUACACACCAAAGGUUCAGACAUCGAUGCCCUCUGUGUUGCUCCGAGUCACGUGGAAAGAUCAGAUUUUUUUCAGUCAUUCUUUGAAAAGCUGAAGAAUCAAGAGGAAGUAAAAAACCUGAGAGCCAUUGAGGAUGCAUAUGUACCUGUUAUCAAAUUUGAGUUUGAUGGCAUUGAGAUUGACCUUGUGUUUGCAAAGCUCUCUCUGCCCACGGUCUCUGAUGAUCUCGAUCUCAGGGAUGACUCGUGCCUCAAGAGCCUGGAUAUAAGAUGCAUCCGGAGCCUGAAUGGCAGCAGGGUCACAGAUGAAAUUCUGCGCCUGGUGCCCAACCUGGAGAACUUCCGCCUCACGCUCCGUGCAGUUAAACUGUGGGCAAAACGACGUGGUGUUUACUCCAACAUCAUGGGAUUUCUUGGUGGAGUCUCCUGGGCCAUGCUGGUAGCAAGAAUAUGUCAACUCUACCCAAAUGCUUUGGCCUCUACUCUCGUUAACAAGUUCUUCUUGAUUUUUUCAAAAUGGGAUUGGCCAAAGCCAGUAUUGCUGAAACGACUGGAAGAGAGCUUUCUUAAUUUACCAGUCUGGGACCCCAGGGUGAACCCAUCAGACCGGUACCAUGUGAUGCCCAUCAUCACCCCAGCCUACCCGCAGCAGAACUCCACCUACAACGUGUCUGUGUCAACACGGGCAGUCAUGGUGGAGGAGUUCCAGCGUGGUCUUGAAGUUACAGAUGAGAUUCUCAAAGGAAAAUCAGACUGGUCAAAGCUCUUUGAACCACUGAACUUCUUUCAGAAGUACAAACAUUACAUUGUGCUGACUGCCAGUGCCUUUACAGAAGAGCAUCACCUGAACUGGAUUGGCCUGGUGGAGUCUAAAAUCCGUGUGCUGGUUGGAAACUUGGAAAGGAAUGAAUUUAUAACUAUUGCACACGUGCAGCCACAGUCUUUCCCUGGCAAUGAAGUUCUCUAUAAACAGAGUGGAUUUGUAUCAAUGUGGUUUCUUGGGCUUGUGUUUAAGAAAGCAGAAAGUGCAGUAAAGACUAACGUUGAUCUAACACAUGGGAUACAGUCAUUCACAGACACAGUUUACAGGCAGGCCAGUGCCCUCAACAUCCUAAAGGAAGGUAUGAAGAUUGAGGCAACUUAUGUGAAGAGAAAGCAACUCCAUUAUUUUUUGCCAGCAGGAACCUUACAGAAAAGAAAGAAGCAAAGGGUGUCAGAUAUUAGUCAAAAUAAUAGUGGACUUCAGUGCAAAAGGUCUUCUUUAGGUGAAAGCUGUUCGGAUGGUUCCAAAGACAGAGAUUCCAGAACACCCUCUAAUUCCUCUUCGUUAAAUAAGAUAUCUAAGUUGGACAUCUCUACAGCAGAGACAGAAAGCUAAACGUGUGGGACUCGGAUUUCACAGAAAGUGGAUACCCUCAAGAUGGGAGGAAGAGAGCUACAAAAAAUGGUGUCCUUGAUGGAAAAUCCAUGCAGAUUCCAGUGAUCACAUCAAGAUCACAGAGGCUUUCCAGUAAAGAACUGCCAGAUUCUUCAUCUCCUGUUCCAACAAAUAGCAUUCGUAUCAUUAAAAGAUCCAUCAAACUUACCCUUAAUGGUGCAGAUGGGAUCUGCUUAAAAAAAUCUAAACAACUAAACCAACUCUAAAGGGAUGGGAGGAAGGCAGUGCCAGAAAAAAAGCUUUCUACAGAAUUUUAAUGUCACAGAAUAAUUUAGGUUGGAAAAACCUUUAGGUUAGAGUCCAGCUGUAAACCUAACACUGCCACAUCUACCACUAAACUGCCAUGCUAGAGUAAUGCUGAGGAGACCAGGAGCACUGCUGUGCUUUCCUGCUUCUGCUAGAUCUGGGGUUUGAUUUAGUGCCCUCUGCAUUUUGCUGUUUGUGCAAACUGCAUGACUCACCCGAAGUCCCAAUUUGGUAUGUGGACAAAGAUAUCCCUGAAUUGUUUUAAAAUGAGUUGCCUGUCUUAAAGAGCAAAUCUGAGCUCUAAACAUCUUAAGUAUCCACCUCAGUGAGGAGAGUGAAGGACUGUAAGGAAAUAGGAGGUGAUAUCUAUCUUGUCAUGAGUCCUUAGCAUUCCCUCUGCUGCCAGUAUCCCAAACCCUUGGGGAAAGCAUGGCUACAUUAAUCACAAUCUACUUUUUUUUUCCCCUUGUUCUCUGGUUUCCAGCUUGUUUCAAGUGCAAUUUAUCCCUUAGAAAUUGACCUUAGUGGGUUUUAGGCCUUGUUCUUCCUUCUACCCUCCAAAACCCCCAAAAUUUAGACUGCAAAGCUUUGAUUCAGGUUAAAAUUAAGAAACAGUACCCCUAUUACUUAAGUAGCUUUUAGCAGAACUACACCUUGGGUUUAUCAAAUGACUGCCUCCUUUUUGUGACCUGUUCCAAACCAGUGGCACUCAAACAUUGUCACUUCUGUGUACCAGUUACAGUAGGUAUACAGCUUCAGCACCUGUGUAAAUACA
Molecule: RNA transcript, 2806 nt
Organism: Melospiza melodia melodia
Lineage: Eukaryota; Metazoa; Chordata; Aves; Passeriformes; Passerellidae
Gene: PAPOLG
Gene name: poly(A) polymerase gamma
Exons: 21
Source: RefSeq, a predicted model, not a curated record